UGGGAAUUUUGGACAUGGCGAAGCUGAUCCAGCAAUGCCGCGUGUGUGAAGAAGGCCUUCGGUUGUAAAGCACUUUUGUCCGGAAAGAAAUCCUUGGCUCUAAUACAGUCGGGGGAUGACGGUACCGGAAGAAUAAGCACCGGCUAACUACGUGCCAGCAGCCGCGGUAAUACGUAGGGUGCAAGCGUUAAUCGGAAUUACUGGGCGUAAAGCGUGCGCAGGCGGUUUGCUAAGACCGAUGUGAAAUCCCCGGGCUCAACCUGGGAACUGCAUUGGUGACUGGCAGGCUAGAGUAUGGCAGAGGGGGGUAGAAUUCCACGUGUAGCAGUGAAAUGCGUAGAGAUGUGGAGGAAUACCGAUGGCGAAGGCAGCCCCCUGGG
RNAcentral lists this ribosomal RNA (380 nucleotides) under uncultured bacterium. RNAcentral's name for it is "partial 16S ribosomal RNA". It matches the Rfam family "Bacterial small subunit ribosomal RNA", at positions 356 to 733 of the family's 1533-position model. The record is from RNAcentral.